RNAcentral lists this transfer RNA (76 nucleotides) under Hyphomicrobium sp. RNAcentral's name for it is "tRNA-Trp". It matches the Rfam family "tRNA". From Rfam's summary of the family: Transfer RNA (tRNA) molecules are approximately 80 nucleotides in length. Their secondary structure includes four short double-helical elements and three loops (D, anti-codon, and T loops). RNAcentral also lists the same sequence under 4 other names. Lineage: Bacteria; Pseudomonadati; Pseudomonadota; Alphaproteobacteria; Hyphomicrobiales; Hyphomicrobiaceae. The record is from RNAcentral.
AGGGGUGUAGCUCAAUUGGUAGAGCGUCGGUCUCCAAAACCGAAGGUCGCAGGUUCGAGACCUGCCGCCCCUGCCA